AAAUCAGAAACUUCGAACAGAUCUUACACAAAAUUCAUUUUUGAAACUGGAAAAUUGACCCAGACAGAGAAAUCGACAUGCUCUCCCGUCCGUUUUUCUUCCACCAUCUGUAUAUGUGUGGCGACCAAUUUCAGAAGACAAUGGGGUGCGGCUGUCGUUUCUCCUGGAUAGAGUGGGUGGAGUUCCGGUGAGUUUGGUGGCUAUCUACGGCGGAUUCGAGUUUCGCUGGUUUUCUGGCAACUUGGAGAGACGACUGAAGGUGUUAGUUACUGUAUGAGGGAGGGUGGUGUCAGAGUUGUG
RNAcentral lists this long non-coding RNA (300 nucleotides) under Nicotiana benthamiana. RNAcentral describes it as "long non-coding RNA (NBEN_LNC017168)". Lineage: Eukaryota; Viridiplantae; Streptophyta; Magnoliopsida; Solanales; Solanaceae. The record is from RNAcentral.